UGGGGAAUCUUGCACAAUGGAGGAAACUCUGAUGCAGCGACGCCGCGUGAGCGAUGAAGCCCUUCGGGGUGUAAAGCUCUUUCGUCAGGGAAGAUUAUGACGGUACCUGGAGAAGCAGCUGCGGCUAACUACGUGCCAGCAGCCGCGGUAAUACGUAGGCAGCAAGCGUUGUUCGGAGUUACUGGGCGUAAAGGGUGUGUAGGCGGCCUUCUAAGUUUGGUGUGAAAUCUCCCGGCUCAACCGGGAGGGUGCGCCGAAGACUGGGGGGCUAGAGUAUGGGAUGGGAAAGUGGAAUUCCUGGUGUAGCGGUGAAAUGCGUAGAUAUCAGGAGGAACACCUGCGGUGUAGACGGCUUUCUGGACCAUAACUGACGCUGAAACACGAAAGCGUGGGUAGCAAACAGGAUUAGAUACCCCCGUAGUCC
This 424-nucleotide ribosomal RNA is filed under the name uncultured bacterium. RNAcentral describes it as "bacterial SSU rRNA". It matches the Rfam family "Bacterial small subunit ribosomal RNA", at positions 355 to 796 of the family's 1533-position model. The record is from RNAcentral.